GAUGAACGCUGGCGGCGUGCCUAACACAUGCAAGUCGAACGGAAGGACCAUAAGCUUGUGGGGUUGAUGUUUGCGGCAGGCGGGAGUGUAACGCGUGUAUCAUCUACUUAUAUUUCGGGUAUAAUCACGGAACUCGGGAUAAUAUACCAGAGAAUAUUCUGAACCGCAGGGUGCAAUGGAGAAUUACGGCGUUGGGGGCUGGUCUAGAGGGUUACGCGCUGGAUGAGCUAGUUGGUAAGUUAACGGCUUACCACGGCGACGAUGCGUGGCCGAGCGGUGGGGCGGAUCGGCCACCCUGGAACUGAGACACGGUCCAGAGGCCUACGGGAGGCAGCAGUAGGGAAUCGGCGGCAAUGGGCGGAAGCAUGACGCAGCGACGCCGCGUGUGUGAUGGAGGUCUUCGGUUCGUAAAGCCCUGUUAUUGGGUAAGAACAGCUGUCUCCUUAGACGAAGAGUUCGUGACGGUACUUAAUCAAAAAGCACCGGCUAACUACGUG
RNAcentral lists this ribosomal RNA (497 nucleotides) under uncultured bacterium. RNAcentral's name for it is "partial 16S ribosomal RNA". It matches the Rfam family "Bacterial small subunit ribosomal RNA", at positions 28 to 507 of the family's 1533-position model. The record is from RNAcentral.